This is a non-coding RNA of Monodelphis domestica (gray short-tailed opossum), 1005 nucleotides long. NCBI's taxonomy places the organism in Eukaryota, Metazoa, Chordata, Mammalia, Didelphimorphia, Didelphidae. The record is from RefSeq and is a predicted model, not a curated record.
UCAUUGUGCCAUCCAACUAUUGUGACAUGAUGGAAAGUUACAGCAAAGUGGACAUGUGACUAGGAAGGGAUCAAUUCUGAAAAAUGUCAAAAAUAUGCCCCAAACUUACUAUUAUUCCAGGAGAGGUUGUAAGAAUAGAUUUGAAGGGUUGCCAUGUGGACGAUAUUUAUUUUAUUCGGAUUGGUUCUAGACAGAGAGCCAGAUUUCAGUUCAAUGGAAGGUGACAGUGACUGAAAAAUAGAGCUAUAUCAAAGUGAAGUGGGAUACUGAAGGAGAUUGUGAAUCCCCAUCUUUGGAACUCUUCCAAUAAAGGCUGGAUGACCACUUGUCUUCUUGGAUGAGAAGAUCUUUUAGUUUUCUUUCAAAUUUUUAAUUCUUUGAAGAAGAAUUUAAUCUGUUUUUAUCCUUAUAGCCUGAUUGGGCACCUGAUGUUUAUAGUUAUUUUCUAGGCUAGGAGCUGUGAUAACUAAUUCUGAUGUAACCUAUGAGACAUUCAAUAGGCAUUGCCCAUUGCAUUGUGACAUCUGGUAGAGAUUGAUUCAUAAUAGAUCUAUUAGGGGGUGGAGCCAAGAUGGCAGUGUAGUGGUAGUAGGAGUUUUCUGAAUCUCCUUCCAACUGAUAAUUACAAAGCAUCUCAAAAGGACAGAAAUAAAAAACCAGACAAGUAAAGAGGCUCUCCCACUGGACAUAGCUUUAAAGGCCUCCCCCAAAUGCUCAACAUUCCUCUGAGACCUCUGAGGGGUCCCCAGCCUGGUCAAAGGCGUCUUCAAGCACAGCGAUGAGUCUGGUCAGAGAAGGAUUGGAAAGGGUGAAAUGGACACAGCACUGGCCCCCUCUGUUAUCAAGACAUAUGGAAAAGGAGGAAGGAUGGAUCUUCUUAGUCAUCACUGCUCAAGGCAAUAGGCCAGUAAAAUUGCCUGCCUUUCUCCUGGGAAGGAUACUGUCCUUAUCACCGAGCACCCACUCGCUUCUGUCCAUAUCUCAUAAUUAAGCACUUUCACAAUU